GACGAACGCUGGCGGCGUGCCUAAUACAUGCAAGUUGAGCGCUGAAGGUUGGUACUUGUACCGACUGGAUGAGCAGCGAACGGGUGAGUAACGCGUGGGGAAUCUGCCUUUGAGCGGGGGACAACAUUUGGAAACGAAUGCUAAUACCGCAUAAAAACUUUAAACACAAGUUUUAAGUUUGAAAGAUGCAAUUGCAUCACUCAAAGAUGAUCCCGCGUUGUAUUAGCUAGUUGGUGAGGUAAAGGCUCACCAAGGCGAUGAUACGUAGCAGACCUGAGGGGGUGAUCGGCCACAUUGGGACUGAGACACGGCCCAAACUCCUACGGGAGGCAGCAGUAGGGAAUCUUCGGCAAUGGACGAAAGUCUGACCGAGCAACGCCGCGUGAGUGAAGAAGGUUUUCGGAUCGUAAAACUCUGUUGGUAGAGAAGAACGUUGGUGAGAGUGGAAAGCUCAUCAAGUGACGGUAACUACCCAGAAAGGGACGGCUAACUACGUG
This 497-nucleotide ribosomal RNA is filed under the name uncultured bacterium. RNAcentral's name for it is "partial 16S ribosomal RNA". It matches the Rfam family "Bacterial small subunit ribosomal RNA", at positions 28 to 507 of the family's 1533-position model. The record is from RNAcentral.